This 1097-nucleotide long non-coding RNA is filed under the name Daucus carota (carrot). RNAcentral's name for it is "long non-coding RNA (DCAR_LNC000394)". Lineage: Eukaryota; Viridiplantae; Streptophyta; Magnoliopsida; Apiales; Apiaceae. The record is from RNAcentral.
CUUCAGGUUCUAAUUCUCUGCACAAUUUUUCUGAGAUGAUGAGUAAAUUAAUCUUUGCAAGAUCACUGCUGAGAUUACAUGCUGACUUGUGUAGAUGCACAGCACAAGAACACAAACAUCGAGGUCUCCAAGAAAAUGCCACAUCUAAUUAGCACCUUACUUAGAACUCUACUAACUAUACUAAAACUCUACUAACUUUCAACGAUAACAAUAAAAGACAAAAGCAACCACAUGCACAUGUUUACAUAGCAACAUACCAUAAAAUAAAACUUUACAUGCCGAAGAAGAUCCGAUAAAAGCAUAAAGAGCUGUGUACCAGGGGGCCAAGCUGCUGCAUUUUCAUCAGCCCCCUCCAACUCUUAAGCUCUAGUACAAGAACUUCUUAGUAAUAUACAUUAAACAUUUAUUUACUCACAUAGUAAAACAAACAUAUAUUGAAUGCAAAUAACAAAAUAAAAACCCUUAAUUUUAAUAAUUAGGGUUUCAAUCAAAACUCAUGAACUCAAACUAAAUUAAAACUCUAGUAGAUAAAGUAAACCAAAACCCACUUCCUAAGAGAUGCAAAAAUACUUACUCUUUGAUAUAAACAACUCGAUUAAGAUGUAAAACCAUGAGUUGAGAGAUGAACUCGAACCAUGUACUCAAUGUUCAUCAUUGACAGGCGAAUACAAGCAUAAUUCUAAAUGAAACUAAAACACGCGACGAGAGGCGAAGAAUCAAUUAAGACAAUCAAUCUAGGAUAUUUAUAUUUUGGCAUCUAAAGGAUGAAAUUCGAUAAAGAAGCACAAUAAUCUCAACUAAAAGAUAUCAUACCUGUGACGGUGCUUCUUAAUUUGAUUUAUUAGCGAGUUCAACCAUGAUAGAUUCUGUGUAUUCCAUUCACAAACUCUGAGUAAGAUCAUUGGCGUGAAGACUACUAAACCGUACGUAACGAUGAAAACAACUACGGAUCAUAAAUCGACGUUAAAUCGAUGUAUAGUUGAUCGAACAUUUGUUCAUUACCAUUCAUGCCUAUUGAGGGGACAUCAAAUAGGUUAUAUGUAAUUGUUAUGGUAGGGUUUUAUUGGGCUUUGUCAAACCCAACAUCUAUACGGGCC